Lonchura striata (white-rumped munia) is the source of this 383-nucleotide non-coding RNA. The record is from RefSeq and is a predicted model, not a curated record. Lineage: Eukaryota; Metazoa; Chordata; Aves; Passeriformes; Estrildidae.
CCUUAUUCCAUUUAAUAAGAAAUGGUUACACUCACAUUCAGUCAUGCAGCAAAAGCAGUGACAAGACCCGACACAGACACUUUUUUCUCCACUUUAGCUAAGGAAGUGCAGCUAUAUAGCUAGCCUGAAAAAAAAAUAUUUUGCAUUUCUACUUGUGGAUUGGGACACAUCUGCUUUCUGAUGGGAUCUUCAGGAGCAUAGGGCUGCUGUGGUGGAGUGACCUUGGCCAGCUGCCAGGGGCUCAGCAAACCACCCUCUCACUCCCCCUCCUCCUUCUGCAAGUCAGCUGGGGGAAAUAAGAUUAGAAACUCACAGGUCAAGAGGGAGACCAAAGUCAACUACAAGUUCUUCUCAGAGACUCACCUCACCACAGAAUAACUGGA